This is a long non-coding RNA of Quercus robur (English oak), 3495 nucleotides long. RefSeq lists it as uncharacterized. The transcript has 5 exons. Lineage: Eukaryota; Viridiplantae; Streptophyta; Magnoliopsida; Fagales; Fagaceae. The record is from RefSeq and is a predicted model, not a curated record.
UUGUUUUAGUGGAAGGAGAGUAUCAAAUGUCAAAGACACUUGAAUCCGUUCAUGGAGGGAAGAGGAAUAGUUACCAAGACAUUGAAGAUCCCAAUCAAACUAUGAUUCAGUUAACCAUCAACAGCAGGACACACUGAGGAUCUGGGUGAUCUACGCCAUGAUCUUUAAGAUUCAACCACAGAAGGUAACAGAAAUAAGCAAAGCUGUGAUGAGGAUGAUGGGGUUGGACCAAGUGGAGAAGGCUAUUCUAUUGAUGAACCCCAUCCAAAGACUACCUGGAUGCAUGGCUAAUUCUAAAGAAUUUGGUAUAAGGAAUGUUUCAACUUCUUUGCCUGUUUGAAUAAUACAAAUUUCUCUUCUUGGCUUGUUGGGGCACUUUUAUAUAAUGGAAGGAGGAGACCCAAGAAACUUGAAGCCUAUCAUGGUGGUAAGAGGGAUAGUUAUGAGAGAGAUGUUGAAGAAUUAGCCAAGGAGGGUCAUUCCUCUCACACCCACCUUGGUAUUGUCUCAAGUGGGCAAGAAUUAAUCAAGGAGGGUUACUUUUUGCUGUAUGUGUGUGUGUAUAUAUGUGUGUUUCUUUGUUUAUUUGGUUUUAUAGAGUUUAAGCCGUGGCAUCAGUGUAGAGAAAUUAAAGAUUAUUUGGUCCCAUGCUUUUGUGCUAUUUUGUAGUCUCCCAUUUUCUUAGUGAAAUAUUCUGUUAGACACUGUCCGUGGAUGUAGGCUUAAAGCUGAACCACGUAAAUCUUUGUGUUUCAUGUGUGAUUGUGUUUUCUAUUUCUAUUUUGCAAAACAUGCUAUUAUUUUAUUACACAACAAAUAAGUAUAAAAUAACCUACUAUUUGUUUGUUACACACAACUAAUAAGCAUAAAGCUUCCACUAACUCAACAGUUUGUGAUUAGAGCAAUGUAUGCUUAUGAAAUGCAGUUGUAUUGUUGUAACAAUUGAGUGCACUGCUGGGCUUGUAAAGUGCGGUUGCAAAUGUAGCUGUUUGCACUUUGGUAGCAGAGAGGGCUUGUUUGAGUGUUGUAUUUGUUGGGCUGUUAUUUGUAUCCAGCUUUGUUUGAAGUUUUUUCUUCUAGUGUUUUGAUAAAUAAAAAUGAAUUAUUCAUUAAAAAAAUGUUUUCCUUGAGGUUUGUUGUAUUAAUAUAAUUCUCUUGGGCUGUUGGUCGAUUCAUGCUUCUCUGCUAGAGCAAACAAAAUACCCAAGAACCUUUAGUAAUAUGUUACUAAAUUUUUUAUCGUCUUGAAGUUUUGACAGCAACAGAAGAAAUGAAACCACUUUAUAGUAUCAGUAUCUUCAAGAGCAAUGAGUAACUUGAUCAUCCUAGGGUGAUCCAUGAUAUUUGUAAACGCAGCCAACCACCUUCCUAACAAGCUCUAUUGCUGCAUUUCACACAGCCUCAUCAAUUACUCGACUGUGCUCUUAGCAUAUUCCUAUUCCUCUUCCUCUUCUACUCUCCUUUCUUCUUUCUCUAAUGUCUUUCUAGCCAGAAAUGGACUCAAAUUUUGUCAUCAUUUGCUUCGAACUUAUUAUAGGCAUCAACCAGACCUUGGGGCAAUUGAUCUUUAAUGCAUCAUAAAUAGAGAAAAUUGCCUGCUGUAAGAAGCUGUUGCCAUUCCCAAUAAUUCAUUUUAAAAUUUGUAAGGACUUAUUAGUUUUGAAUUAGUUGGAUUAGUCAAACUAGGUUAAUGGAUAUACGCUGGGGAUAUUGGGAAUACAUGUUCAUUUGAAGUUAAUGGAUAUCAAAUGAAAUAUACACAUUUAUGUAGGGAAAAUUAUGGUAAAAUUGAAUCGCAUCAACUUGGUUUGCAAUAUUUGUCCCAUUACAAGUUGUCCAAUGGCUUUGAUUCCGAUUGGAAAGAAGUAUGGAGUCAAAGUGAUGCAAACGGAAUCUGUCAAAUUGUGAUUGAAAUAUCUUUCCAGAACUUGAAGGUGAAGAAAAUUGGGGUUCAUUUGGUAUUCGAGCAAGUUGAAGAUCUUGAUCAAAUUAUAUCACCGUGGAGAGACAAUAGUUAAUCUAGUGAAAGUGACUUGGAAGGCUAAACUUUUUCUCUUCAUCGCCUGUGCUUUGGCGCGCUUCUAUUUAAUUAAUGGAAGGACAGGAUCAAAUGUCCAAGAGGCUUGAAGCCUACUACAACGGUAAGAGGGAUAGUUACCAGAGCCAUAUUGAAGAAUUAGCCAUGGAAGGUCCCUCUCACGCCCACCUGGGCUCUUGCUAAAGUGAUACAAAUUCUUCCCGCAAUCUCUUUACUUGAAGCAAGGUUAUCAUACAAUGCCUCAUUUGCUUGGAGAAGUAUAACGGAUGCUAGAAAGGUUGCACGGUUGAGCAGCACUAUUGUUGGAAGAUAUAAAUGGAAGACAGGUUAACAUCUGUGAAGAUAGGUGGCUGCCAUCACCAAGCACAUUUAAAGUGGUUUCUCCAACAAAUCCUCAAUCUGGAGAAAACUAUGUGUGUUACUUGCUGGAUGAUGAUACAAAGACUUGUAGAUUUUUCGGUAUAGAGUGCGUAUAAUUUGUUGGAAUACGAGGCUAGGUCAGGUUUAGGAGAGGCUUCAAACAAUCACAGCUCAAUAAUUAUGUGGCAGGCACUGUGGAAAGUUUUUCACGGCAUGCUCUUCAGGAUGUCAUAGCAACAAAGACUUGAGUAUUUUCCAAAAGGCUUUAUCUCUUCAGUAACUUGUGAGCAGUGUGAUGAAGUUCCUGAAACCAGUUUACAUGCUUUUUGGUCUUGCCCACACGCCAAGAAGGUAUGGCAAUUAAUUGAAGGCAUAAACAUUAUCCCACAGCAGCCUCAUCAGAAAUCGACUGAUCUAUUCUCCUGGAUGCUGCACCACAAAAUACUAUCUCACUGAAACUAUCUCUCAUUCAGUCAUGGCAAUCAUGGCUACACAUAUAUGGAAAAAGAUUUGAGGAACCAGGAAUACAGCAACCACUUUAGUAUAUAGAGGCAAGGAGAUGCAUGAAUGCUACUUGGCUGCAAAAGUUUCAUCUAAGCUACUGCAGAAAGUACACAUCCCAAUAUGGAAGUCCCUUCAGUUACCUUACUUCAAGCUAAGGUUGAGGUGAUUGUGAGCCAAUGCUGGCUGGAGGCUCAAUUUACAGGAUUCUGGCAUGCCCUACAAUUGUGUAACCAGCAGGGACUUCAGGAGGCUCAACUUGAGGGCCACUUUUGGUACUGCCAUUGCUGCUUUUAACAUGGAUUCCCCCUAAAAAGUGACCAGAAAUUCUCUGUUCAACGAAGUGAAAACUAGCUAUAUCUAAUUUCAGAUGCUGAGUUUAAAUUGGUGGACAAAAGCUGUAAUAAUACUGCUCUAGUUUUAGCAGAUCUUGUGUGUAAAUAUUGUGUUGCUGAGAUUUGGCUGGGUGUCCCCCAACCUCUUAUCACCCAUUGUAUAGACUUGAUAAUUUUUGUGACAUGCAAUAUAUAUCCUGCUGCUGUUAAUAGAAAAAAAAGAAAAAAAAAAGAUGUAUACAUAUUGAUAUGUCUUUCCUA